This is a long non-coding RNA of Plodia interpunctella (Indianmeal moth), 396 nucleotides long. RefSeq lists it as uncharacterized. The record is from RefSeq and is a predicted model, not a curated record. The transcript is spliced from 3 exons. Lineage: Eukaryota; Metazoa; Arthropoda; Insecta; Lepidoptera; Pyralidae.
CGGACGCUCGUGUUGCUGGUGAUAUGUCAAGGUUGUGCGGCGUCCUUAGACGGUGUCUUAAUGAUGAUACGUGUAACAACGCACCGCUCCCGCAGUCGCAGCGGAAGCCGCGCGCGCGCGCCUCGCAGCGGCCGCCGUGCUGGCACACGCGCUCGGCGCACGCGUCGCGCUCGCGCUCGCAUCGCGCGCCCGAGAACGUCUCCGAGCACUCGCAGUACGCCUUCUGGAGGUGCAUUAACAAAUACCUUCAAACAGUACCAUACUGACGAAUGGAAAAAUAUAAAGCGUUCUACUGACGAAGAUGAAACCCGUUGCGGACUGACCUCAGCAUCGACGACGCAGCGGCCGUGCACGCAGGGCGUCACCUCACAGAACGCCUUCUCGCAGUGGACGCCC